Molecule: long non-coding RNA, 817 nt
Filed under: Rattus norvegicus (Norway rat)
Lineage: Eukaryota; Metazoa; Chordata; Mammalia; Rodentia; Muridae
Description: long non-coding RNA NONRATT014181
Source: RNAcentral
UUGAAUGAAGAUUGUUUCCUCCCUUUGUUUUUAACUGGUAGCGUUCUAAUUUGUGAGCUGACACUUGAUAAUGGAUGUCUUAAUCGUGUAGAUCUGAUUCACUGUCCGAAGUCUUGUUUACUUCCUUCCAUAUUUAAUGGGGAUUCCCACAUUGUCCCCCGCAGCACACGUGCUCUCUCACUCACUUUACAAGCCUACACACAGACACACAGUACACGUCUCUAACAGAAGAGAAGGGGCAGUUGGAGGUACGACUGAUAACCAGUGUAUCCUUUUCCAGCCUAGGUGCGUUCUCCACUUGGUGCUUACUCUGCUGGACUCAAAGAUUUCACCCAGGUAUUUCAAUCUCCCAGCUUUUAGUUGCUUUGUGGCUACAUUUGACCUUUAUAGGAUCCUUCAGUUUUUCCUUUUAGGAUGUUUGUUUGUAGGGGAAAAUUUUGGAACUAUAAGAAAGACAGUGCACUGCCUGUAAAUUCACAGUGUUUGGUAGAAUCCUUUUGGAGCACACACACAAGAAUAGGUACACAGCGACUGGUACCUUCUCUAUUGUAAAUAUUUCAUUCAAAAUGAUGCACAUAUAAAUAUAUUCUUACAGAAUUUGCUGUAAUUGUUGAUCCAUUUGAGGCUCUCCAAAGUUCUGAGUUCUGUAUAUGACCUCGUUCCUUGUUUUUGUUAAUGAAUUAUUUACUAUAGUAAUGUAUUAAGUUAUUUUGGGUGUUGUUUCAUUGUCUUUCAUCGAAGAGAUGAUUUUAAUGUUUUAUUGGCAAAGUAUGCUACUUUUUUCAUUAAAAUAUGCUAUUAAUAUUAAAUGACUUUU